GCCGGGCAUGGUGGCUCAUGCCUGUAAUCCCAGCACUUUGGGAGGCUGAGGUGGGUGGAUCACCUGAGGUCAGGAGUUCGAGACCAGCCUGGCCAACAUGGUGAAACCCCAUCUCUA
Non-coding RNA from Homo sapiens (human), 117 nucleotides. It matches the Rfam family "Metazoan signal recognition particle RNA". Rfam says of the family: The signal recognition particle (SRP) is a universally conserved ribonucleoprotein. It is involved in the co-translational targeting of proteins to membranes. The record is from Rfam. Lineage: Eukaryota; Metazoa; Chordata; Mammalia; Primates; Hominidae.